This 501-nucleotide ribosomal RNA is filed under the name uncultured bacterium. RNAcentral describes it as "partial 16S ribosomal RNA". It matches the Rfam family "Bacterial small subunit ribosomal RNA", at positions 29 to 523 of the family's 1533-position model. The record is from RNAcentral.
AUUGAACGCUGGCGGCAUGCCUUACACAUGCGAGUCGAACGGCAGCACGGGUGCUUGCACCUGGUGGCGAGUGGCGAACGGGUGAGUAAUACAUCGGAACGUACCUUAUCGUGGGGGAUAACGCAGCGAAAGCUGUGCUAAUACCGAAUACGCCCUGCGGGGGACAGCGGGGGAUCGCAAGACCUCGCGCGAUUAGAGCGGCAGAGGCGUGAUUAGCUAGUUGGUGGGGUAAAAGCCCACCAAGGCGACGAUCAGUAGCUGGUCUGAGAGGACGAUCAGCCACACUGGGACUGAGACACGGCCCAGACUCCUACGGGAGGCAGCAGUGGGGAAUUUUGGACAAUGGGGGCAACCCUGAUCCAGCAAUGCCGCGUGAGUGAAGAAGGCCUUCGGGUUGUAAAGCUCUUUUGUCAGGGAAGAAACACCGGCUCUAACACAGUCCGGGAAUGACGGUACCUGAAGAAUAAGCACCGGCUAACUACGUGCCAGCCGCCGCAGUAA